RNAcentral lists this ribosomal RNA (251 nucleotides) under uncultured bacterium. RNAcentral describes it as "partial 16S ribosomal RNA". It matches the Rfam family "Bacterial small subunit ribosomal RNA", at positions 526 to 779 of the family's 1533-position model. The record is from RNAcentral.
CGGAGGGUGCGAGCGUUGUCCGGAUUUAUUGGGUUUAAAGGGUGCGUAGGCGGCUUUUUAAGUCUGGGUGAAGCCGCUGCUCAACAGCGGAACUGCCCUGGAUACUGGAGAGCUUGAGUACAGACGAGGUUGGCGGAAUGGACCGAGUAGCGGUGAAAUGCAUAGAUACGGUCCAGAACCCCGAUUGCGAAGGCAGCUGACUAGGCUGUUACUGACGCUGAGGCACGAAAGCGUGGGGAGCGAACAGGAUU